Molecule: ribosomal RNA, 506 nt
Filed under: uncultured Glomus
Lineage: Eukaryota; Fungi; Glomeromycota; Glomeromycetes; Glomerales; Glomeraceae
Description: SSU rRNA
Rfam family: Eukaryotic small subunit ribosomal RNA
Source: RNAcentral
AGCAGCCGCGGUAAUUCCAGCUCCAAUAGCGUAUAUUAAAGUUGUUGCAGUUAAAAAGCUCGUAGUUGAAUUUCGGGAUUGGCGCAUCGGUCGUGCCUCACGGGGUAUGAACUGGUGCAGUCAAUUUCUCACCUUCUGGAGAACCGCGAUGUCCUUAAUUGGAUGCCGCGGGGAACCAGGACCUUUACUUUGAAAAAUUAGAGUGUUUAAAGCAGGCAUUUUUGCUUGAAUACAUUAGCAUGGAAUAAUAAAAUAGGACGGCAUGGUUCUAUUUUGUUGGUUUCUAGGACCACCGUAAUGAUUAAUAGGGAUAGUUGGGGGCAUUAGUAUUCAAUUGUCAGAGGUGAAAUUCUUGGAUUUAUUGAAGACUAACUACUGCGAAAGCAUUUGCCAAGGAUGUUUUCAUUAAUCAGAACGAAAGCUAGGGGAUCGAAGACGAUCAGAUACCGUCGUAGUCUUAACCAAUAAACUAUGCCGACUAGGAAUCAGACGAUGUUAAUUUUUAA